UGCUCUCAAGUUUGGUGUUGGCACAGGACUCUCAUCUAACUCAAUGUUUGGACUACCAAUACAACUAACAAGGGGUUGGACUACCAAUACAACUAACAGGAACUACACUCGGAACUUCUACUUUUCACCUACCAUCAAUAAGAGCUGGACUGUGUAAACUUGGAAUCCAAUCACUGGUAAGAAGAAUGAAAACAAUACCAAUGAGAAUCUAGCUUAUAACUGGGAACUCCCCCCGCCCACCAAGACUUUCUAUUAUAUAAUAGAAUUCCACCGGUGCAGCAGACAAGCCACUCAAAAGAUCGAAUUUCACUGGGCAGUAACCGAACCUUACUUGUGAAUUAGAACACCUGCCGCACCCAGCCAUCCAAGUAUUUCUUUCCUGUCUCUCAUCCCAGUAUCGGUAUUGGAAGGUAACUCAACAGAAUCUGAAUUGAACCAAUACCGUUGAACCACACUUAUUUGGAUUCUUAUUCUCUUGUGUUAGUCCGCUACUCCCUGGCUUAAGUACAACUUAUCGUGCUCUCUUUCAUGCUUUAACUAUAUGGAUUCGUUUCUUUGUUUGCUAGCUUCCAAGCUUAGUUAAAGAAGUUAGCUCACCCGGUGGAGCCUAUCCCUCCUGGCCUCAUGUAUUAGUAGAUUGAGUCUGCCCUGUCUUGCUUGGAUUCUUUAAACACCGUUCAUUGGCCUAGAUUGAGGUUACCUCUCCCUGCCUUAAGUCUGUAUUGCACUAUUAAGAGACAGUACAGUAAGUAAGGCUCUAAGGAAGGAAUGGUAGACUCCCGUUAAUAGGCAAGAAAGCAAGUUAGGAUUCUAGGAAUGAAAGCAGUGGUACGGGAAUGAAAGAAGGUAUGGGCAGACUUCAAAGUACCCAGUAGGGCUAUUGUGUUUGAAUUCCCUAUUUGAGCUAUAGUCUUAUUGAUAUUAGUUUCAGAAUUGGAAUUGGUAGUUUCAGAACGAAAGGCAGAGGGGAAGCAUGAUAGGGUUGGGUAAUGUAUCAGCCUCGCCAGUACAAUAUUGAAAUGACUUGUUUUGAGUUCGAUUCCCUGACGCGCUAACUCGGUCUUAUCCUGUAGGUAGUAAGUCUUGUUUACGUUGGUUCGAUUGCUUCUAUAUGGGCCUUAUCAGUAGUGUUGCAUCCUUAUCAGCAGUAGCUCGAGUCUGUUUGUCAGAAGUUAUAUUCCUUAAAGCAGUAGCCAUCUAAAGCAGCCCUUGUUUAAAGUACGAGUCCUGUUGGUGGCAAGUCAGAAUUCUCUCAAGGGGAGUUUGCCUAGGAUCAAAAGGAUUAUUAGUCAAGCAAGGAUCUUAA
This 1306-nucleotide long non-coding RNA is filed under the name Musa acuminata (dwarf banana). Its description in RNAcentral is "long non-coding RNA (MACU_LNC007442)". Lineage: Eukaryota; Viridiplantae; Streptophyta; Magnoliopsida; Zingiberales; Musaceae. The record is from RNAcentral.